CCUACGGGUGGCAGCAGUAGGGAAUAUUGCUCAAUGGGGGAAACCCUGAAGCAGCGACGCCGCGUGAGUGAAGAAGUAAUUCGUUAUGUAAAGCUCUAUCAGCAGGGAAGAAAAGGACGGUACCUGAGUAAGAAGCCCCGGAGAACUACGUGCCAGCAGCCGCGGUAAGACGUAGGGGGCAAGCGUUACCCGGAUUUACUGGGUGUAAAGGGAGCGUAGACGGUAGGGCAAGUCUGGAGUGAAAGGCGGGGGCUCCACCCCCGGACGGCCGGGGAAACUGUCCGGCUGGAGUGCAGGAGAGGUAAGUGGUAUUCCUGGUGUAGCGGUGAGAUGCGUAGAUCUUAGGCGCACCCCCAGUGGCGACGGCGGCUUACUGGCCUGUACCUGCCGUUGAGGCUCGACAGCGUGGGGAGCAAACAGGAUUAGAUACCCCAGUAGUC
RNAcentral lists this ribosomal RNA (440 nucleotides) under uncultured bacterium. RNAcentral describes it as "partial 16S ribosomal RNA". It matches the Rfam family "Bacterial small subunit ribosomal RNA", at positions 338 to 795 of the family's 1533-position model. The record is from RNAcentral.